This 882-nucleotide ribosomal RNA is filed under the name Russula atropurpurea. Its description in RNAcentral is "eukaryotic LSU rRNA". It matches the Rfam family "Eukaryotic large subunit ribosomal RNA", at positions 74 to 931 of the family's 3401-position model. The record is from RNAcentral. Lineage: Eukaryota; Fungi; Basidiomycota; Agaricomycetes; Russulales; Russulaceae.
AUUCCCCUAGUAACUGCGAGUGAAGCGGGAAAAGCUCAAAUUUAAAAUCUGGUGGCCUUUGGCCAUCCGAGUUGUAAUUUAGAGAAGCGUAUUCCGCGCCGGACCGUGCACAAGUCUCCUGGAAUGGAGCGUCGUAGAGGGUGAGAAUCCCGUCUUUGGCACGGACGACCGGGGCUUUUGUGAUGCGCUCUCGAAGAGUCGAGUUGUUUGGGAAUGCAGCUCAAAAUGGGUGGUGAACUCCAUCUAAAGCUAAAUAUUGGCGAGAGACCGAUAGCGAACAAGUACCGUGAGGGAAAGAUGAAAAGCACUUUGGAAAGAGAGUGAAACAGUACGUGAAAUUGUUGAAAGGGAAACGCUUGAAGUCAGUCGCGUCGUCCGAGACUCAGCCUCGCCUCGGCUUGGUGUACUUCUCGGCCGACGGGUCAGCAUCAAUUUUGCCCCUUGGAUAAUGGCGAGGGAAAUGUGACACCCUUACGGGGGUGUGUUAUAGUCUCUCGUCGCAUGCAAGGGUCGGGAUUGAGGAACUCAGCACGCGCCUUUGGGUGUCGGGGUUUUCGCCCACGAUACGUGCUUAGGAUGUUGGCGUAAUGGCUUUAAACGACCCGUCUUGAAACACGGACCAAGGAGUCCAACAUGCCCGCGAGUGUUCGGGUGGAAAACCCGUGCGCGAAAUGAAAGUGAAAGUUGGGACCUCCGUCGUGGAGGGCACCGACGCCCGGACCAGACCUUCUGUGACGGAUCUGCGGUGGAGCGUGUAUGUUGGGACCCGAAAGAUGGUGAACUAUGCCUGAAUAGGGUGAAGCCAGAGGAAACUCUGGUGGAGGCUCGUAGCGAUUCUGACGUGCAAAUCGAUCGUCAAAUUUGGGUAUAGGGGCGAAAGAC